Molecule: non-coding RNA, 114 nt
Filed under: uncultured Companilactobacillus sp.
Lineage: Bacteria; Bacillati; Bacillota; Bacilli; Lactobacillales; Lactobacillaceae
Description: FMN riboswitch (RFN element)
Rfam family: FMN riboswitch aptamer (RFN element)
About the family: The RFN element is a highly conserved domain that is found frequently in the 5'-untranslated regions of prokaryotic mRNAs that encode for flavin mononucleotide (FMN) biosynthesis and transport proteins. This element is a metabolite-dependent riboswitch that directly binds FMN in the absence of proteins.
Source: RNAcentral
GGUUUUCAGGGCAGGGUGUGAUUCCCGACCGGCGGUAUAGUCCGCGACCCAGCAUUGCUGGUUGAAUUGGUGUAAUUCCAGUACCGAUAGUUAAAGUCUAGAUGAAAGAAAACA